CAUUAGAUGGCUGAAUCUAUAAGUAAUAGUCUCUUAAACUAAUAAAUGAAAUUUUUUCUCUAAUGA
This 66-nucleotide transfer RNA is filed under the name Hypoaspis linteyini. RNAcentral's name for it is "tRNA-Lys". Lineage: Eukaryota; Metazoa; Arthropoda; Arachnida; Mesostigmata; Laelapidae. The record is from RNAcentral.